GAUUGAAGUGAUGAUUUAUUUUACCUAAUAUUGCUGCACUAUGGUAUGAUGAUCUAUAAUACAUGCACUACCAUCUGAUCAAUCUUUUAGCCACUCAGUUUUUUCAUUAUUUCCUAAUUGUUUGUAAAUCCCAAGUUAAAAAUGUAUACGUUGCAAUCGAUGAUGCAAAUCUACAUUUUAAACUGAUGUUUUGCUGUGAUUAACCUAAAUUAUCACCAUCUUUCGGCUGAGAUCGCAUUAGAAGGUGUUAUUUAUUUAUUUAUUUUUAAUUUUAAAUGCCUUAUGGUAUCUGAUGCCUUGACCUAAUUAAUGUUUUAGGCAUCUCGUUAGACGGGCAGAUAGUGAUGAAAACAGGUUUGCGACACAGUUUGCUGCUACAUACAUUUCAAAGCUUACUGUUACUUUUAUUACUGUUAACAUUUUUAAACAUAAAAUUUUUGAGGGCAGUGAUGAGAAAUUAGGAAAGUCAUGCACCACUCUGAUACUCAUUGUGAUUGAUAAACUUUCUCAUAACCCAUAUUUUUGUAUCUGAGCCCUUUAAGGUUUUUGUAAAUUAUGUAUAUGAAUGCAUUCUCUGUGAAUAUGAUGAGAAUUAUUGUCGCCCCAGUCUUAUGAGCUGCAUAAACGUACGUAUCUCUCUGGUGAUAGACAUAUUUAUAAUCUGAUUC
This 668-nucleotide long non-coding RNA is filed under the name Helianthus annuus (common sunflower). Lineage: Eukaryota; Viridiplantae; Streptophyta; Magnoliopsida; Asterales; Asteraceae. The record is from RNAcentral.